AGAGUUUGAUCCUGGCUCAGGAUGAACGCUAGCGGCAGGCUUAACACAUGCAAGUCGAGGGGCAGCGAGGGUAGCAAUACCUGUCGGCGACCGGGACCGGCGCACGGGUGCGUAACGCGUAUGUAAUCUACCAUUAACCGGGGAAUAGCCCAGAGAAAUCUGGAUUAAUGCCCCAUAGUAUUAUCGAAAGGCAUCUUUUGAUAAUUAAAGCUCAGGCGGUUUUAGAUGGGCAUGCGCGUCAUUAGUUUGUUGGUGAGGUAACGGCUCACCAAGACUACGAUGACUAGGGGGUCUGAGAGGAUGAUCCCCCACACUGGUACUGAGACACGGACCAGACUCCUACGGGAGGCAGCAGUAAGGAAUAUUGGGCAAUGGAGGCAACUCUGAACCAGCCAUCCCGCGUGCAGGAUGACGGCCCUAUGGGUUGUAAACUGCUUUUAUACACCAAGAAAAAUCCCCACGUGUGGGUGCCCGACGGUACCCAAGGAGGAAGCAUCGGCUAACUCCGUGCCAGCAGCCGCGGUAAUACGGAGGAUGCAAGCGUUAUCCGGAUUCAUUGGGUUUAAAGGGUGCGUAGGCGGCUUUUUAAGUCAGUGGUGAAAUCCUGCCGCUUAACGGUAGAAUUGCCAUUGAUACUGUUUUUCUUGAGUACAUUUGAGGUAAGCGGAAUGUGUAGUGUAGCGGUGAAAUGCUUAGAUAUUACACAGAACACCAAUUGCGAAGGCAGCUUACUAAACUGAUACUGACGCUGAUGCACGAAAGCGUGGGGAGCGAACAGGAUUAGAUACCCUGGUAGUCCACGCCGUAAACGAUGCUCACUCGCUGUUUGCGAUACACAGCAAGCGGCCAAGCGAAAGCAUUAAGUGAGCCACCUGGGGAGUACGAUCGCAAGGUUGAAACUCAAAGGAAUUGACGGGGGCCCGCACAAGCGGAGGAACAUGUGGUUUAAUUCGAUGAUACGCGAGGAACCUUACCUGGGCUUAAAUGCAGAAUGACUUUUCUGGAAACAGAUUUUCUCUUCGGAGCAGACUGCAAGGUGCUGCAUGGUUGUCGUCAGCUCGUGCCGUGAGGUGUCGGGUUAAGUCCCAUAACGAGCGCAACCCUUAUCGUUAGUUGCCAGCGGGUAAUGCCGGGGACUCUAAUGAAACUGCCGGUGUAAACCGUGAGGAAGGUGGGGAUGACGUCAAAUCAGCACGGCCCUUAUGUCCAGGGCUACACACGUGUUACAAUGGUCGGUACAGAGGGCAGCUACCCCGCGAGGGGAUGCAAAUCUCGAAAGCCGGUCUUAGUUCGGAUUGGAGUCUGCAACUCGACUCCAUGAAGCUGGAAUCGCUAGUAAUCGCGCAUCAGCCACGGCGCGGUGAAUACGUUCCCGGGCCUUGUACACACCGCCCGUCAAGCCAUGGAAGCUGGGGGUACCUGAAGUCUGUAACCGCAAGGAGCGGCCUAGGGUAAAACUAGUAACUGGGGCUAAGUCGUAACAAGGUAACC
This 1491-nucleotide ribosomal RNA is filed under the name uncultured bacterium. RNAcentral's name for it is "16S ribosomal RNA". It matches the Rfam family "Bacterial small subunit ribosomal RNA". The record is from RNAcentral.